RNAcentral lists this ribosomal RNA (477 nucleotides) under uncultured bacterium. RNAcentral describes it as "bacterial SSU rRNA". It matches the Rfam family "Bacterial small subunit ribosomal RNA", at positions 365 to 832 of the family's 1533-position model. The record is from RNAcentral.
UUCGCAAUGCCCGAAAGGGUGACGAAGCGACGCCGCGUGUGGGAAGAAGGCCUUCGGGUUGUAAACCACUGUCGGGAGUUAAGAAAUGCAAGGAUAUGAAUAGUGUCUUUGCUUGACUAAGGCUCCGGAGGAAGCCACGGCUAACUCUGUGCCAGCAGCCGCGGUAAUACAGAGGCGGCAAGCGUUGUUCGGAAUUAUUGGGCGUAAAGAGCACGUAGGCGGCUGUGUAAGUCGGUUGUGAAAGCCUUCUGCUUAACGGAAGAACAGCAUCCGAUACUGCAUAGCUCGAGUGCGGGAGGGGAGAGUGGAACUUCUGGUGGAGCGGUGAAAUGCGUAGAUAUCAGAAGGAACGCCGGCGGCGAAAGCGACUCUCUGGCCCGUAACUGGCGCUGAGUGUGCGAAAGCUAGGGGAGCAAACGGGAUUAGAUACCCCGGUAGUCCUAGCCGUAAACGAUGGGCACUAAGUAGAGGGGUUUU